This 253-nucleotide ribosomal RNA is filed under the name uncultured bacterium. RNAcentral describes it as "partial 16S ribosomal RNA". It matches the Rfam family "Bacterial small subunit ribosomal RNA", at positions 524 to 776 of the family's 1533-position model. The record is from RNAcentral.
GACAGAGGGUGCAAACGUUGUUCGGAAUUACUGGGCGUAAAGCGCGUGUAGGCGGCUAUGUAAGUCGGGCGUGAAAUCCCACGGCUCAACCGUGGAAGUGCACUCGAAACUGCAUAGCUAGAGUCCUGGAGAGGAAGGUGGAAUGCUUGGUGUAGAGGUGAAAUUCGUAGAUAUCAAGCGGAACACCGGUGGCGAAGGCGGGUCUCUGGGCCGAUACUGACGCUGAGGAGCGAAAGCGUGGGGAGCGAACAGG